AUAAAAUCCCGUUGAUCCUGCGGGAGGUUGCUGCUAUUUGGAUUCGACUAAGCCAUGCAAGUCAAGGGUUCUUCGGAAUACCGGCAAACUGCUCAGUAACACGUCGAUAAUCUGCCCUUAGGUCAGGAAUAACCUCUGGAAACUGAGGCUAAAACCUGAUAUGGGAAUUCUACUGGAAGGUGUUUUCUCUUAAAAGCAAUGCCUAAGGAUGAGUUGGCGGUCGAUUAGGUUGUUGGUGAGGCAACGGCUCACCAAGCCUAUGAUCGAUAGGGGCCUUGAGAGAGGUAACCCCGAGAAGGGCACUGAGAUACUGGCCCUAGCCCUACGGGGUGCAGCAGGCGCGGAACCUUUACAAUGCACGAAAGUGUGAUAAGGGAAUCCAAAGUGCUUUGCUUUUAGCAAGGCUUUUGCCAAGAGUAAAUAUUUUGGCGAAUAAGUGGUGGGUAAGACUUGUGCCAGCCGCCGCGGUAACACCAGCGCCACAAGUGGCAAUCACUUUUAUUGGGCCUAAAGCGUCCGUAGCCGGUCUAGUAAAUUUCCUGUGAAAUCGUUAGGCUUAACUUAACGGUAUGCAGGAGAGACUACUAGACUUGGGACCGGGAGGCGUCAGAGGUAUUUCUGAGGGAGCGGUAAAAUGCUAUAAUCUCAGAAGGACCCCCUGUGGCGAAGGCGUCUGACGAGAACGGAUCCAACGGUGAGGGACGAAAGCUAGGGGAGCGAACCGGAUUAGAUACCCGAGUAGUCCUAGCUGUAAACACUGCGAACUAGGUGUUGCAUAUUCUUCGGGAAUGUGCAGUAUCGAAGCGAAGGUGCUAAGUUCGCCGCCUGGGAAGUAUGGUUGCAAGACUGAAACUUAAAGGAAUUGGCGGGGGAGCACUACAAGGGGUGCAGCGUGCGGUUUAAUCUAAUUCAACACAGAGAAUCUCACCAGAAGCGAUGGCAGGAUGAAGGUCAGGUUAAAGGCCUUACCUAACAGGCCAAGAGGUAGUGCAUGGCCGUCGUCAGCUCGUGCCGUAAGGUGUCCUGUUAAGUCAGGCAACGAGCGAGACCUAUACUUACAAUUGCCAUCAAGCUUAGCGAUUGGGCACAUUGUGAGAACUGCCCUUGAAAAGGGGAGGAAGGUGUAGGCUACGGUAGGUCUGUAUGCUCCGAAUCUUCUGGGCUACACGCGCGC
This 1174-nucleotide ribosomal RNA is filed under the name archaeon. Its description in RNAcentral is "bacterial SSU rRNA". It matches the Rfam family "Archaeal small subunit ribosomal RNA", at positions 1 to 1181 of the family's 1478-position model. The record is from RNAcentral.